RNAcentral lists this ribosomal RNA (496 nucleotides) under uncultured bacterium. RNAcentral describes it as "partial 16S ribosomal RNA". It matches the Rfam family "Bacterial small subunit ribosomal RNA", at positions 28 to 506 of the family's 1533-position model. The record is from RNAcentral.
GAUGAACGCUGGCGGCGUGCCUAAUACAUGCAAGUCGAGCGAACAGACGAGGAGUUUGCUCUUCUGACGUGAGCGGCGGACGGGUGAGAAACACGUGGAUAACCUACCUAUAAGACUGGGAUAACUUCGGGAAACCGGAGAUAAUACCAGACAAUAUAUUGAACCACAUGGUUCAAUAGGGAAGGACGUUUUUCCUGUAUCUUAUAGAUGGAUCCGCGCCGCAUUAGCUAGUUGGUACGGUAACGGCUUACCAAGGCAACGAUGCGUAGCCGACCUGAGAGGGUGUUCGGCCACACUGGAACUGAGCCACGACCCAGACUCCUACGGGAGGCAGAGGUAGGUACGCGUCCGCAGAGGGGGAAAGCUUGACGGAGCAACGCCGCGCGGGUGCUGAAGCUCUUCGUAUGGGAAAACGCUGUUAGUGGGGAAGAACAAAUGUGGAAGUAACGAUGCAAGUCUGAACGUUACCGAAGCAGAAAGCCACGGCAAACUACGU